GGAGAGGUGUCCGAGUGGCUGAAGGAGCACGCUUGGAAAGCGUGUAAGUCGGCAACGGCUUCGCGGGUUCGAAUCCCGCCCUCUCCGCCA
This 90-nucleotide transfer RNA is filed under the name Planctomycetota bacterium. RNAcentral describes it as "Planctomycetes bacterium tRNA-Ser". It matches the Rfam family "tRNA". Rfam says of the family: Transfer RNA (tRNA) molecules are approximately 80 nucleotides in length. Their secondary structure includes four short double-helical elements and three loops (D, anti-codon, and T loops). Further hydrogen bonds mediate the characteristic L-shaped molecular structure. tRNAs have two regions of fundamental functional importance: the anti-codon, which is responsible for specific mRNA codon recognition, and the 3' end, to which the tRNAs corresponding amino acid is attached (by aminoacyl-tRNA synthetases). tRNAs cope with the degeneracy of the genetic code in two manners: having more than one tRNA (with a specific anti-codon) for a particular amino acid; and 'wobble' base-pairing, i.e. permitting non-standard base-pairing at the 3rd anti-codon position. The record is from RNAcentral. Lineage: Bacteria; Pseudomonadati; Planctomycetota.